RNAcentral lists this ribosomal RNA (605 nucleotides) under uncultured bacterium. Its description in RNAcentral is "bacterial SSU rRNA". It matches the Rfam family "Bacterial small subunit ribosomal RNA", at positions 338 to 943 of the family's 1533-position model. The record is from RNAcentral.
CCUACGGGAGGCAGCAGUGAGGAAUAUUGGACAAUGGGCGCAAGCCUGAUCCAGCCAUGCCGCGUGCAGGAAGACGGUCCUAUGGAUUGUAAACUGCUUUUGUACAGGAAGAAACACUCCCUCGUGAGGGAGCUUGACGGUACUGUAAGAAUAAGGAUCGGCUAACUCCGUGCCAGCAGCCGCGGUAAUACGGAGGAUCCAAGCGUUAUCCGGGAAUCAUUGGGUUUAAAAGGGUCCGUAGGCGGUUUUAAUAAGUCAGUGGUGAAAUCUGGUCGCUCAACGAUCAAACGGCCAUUGAUACUGUUAGACUUGAAUUAUUAGGAAGUAACUAGAAUAUGUAGUGUAGCGGUGAAAUGCUUAGAUAUUACAUGGAAUACCAAUUGCGAAGGCAGGUUACUACUAAUGGAUUGACGCUGAUGGACGAAAGCGUGGGAGCGAACAGGAUUAGAUACCCUGGUAGUCCACGCCGUAAACGAUGGAUACUAGCUGUUGGGCGCAAGUUCAGUGGCUAAGCGAAAGUGAUAAGUAUCCCACCUGGGGAGUACGUUCGCAAGAGAGAGACGAGAGUAGACGNGNGAGAGAGCGAGACGACGACGAGGGAGGAG